Molecule: ribosomal RNA, 465 nt
Filed under: uncultured bacterium
Lineage: Bacteria
Description: partial 16S ribosomal RNA
Rfam family: Bacterial small subunit ribosomal RNA
Source: RNAcentral
GACGAACGCUGGCGGCGUGCUUAACACAUGCAAGUCGAACGGAAAGGCCCUGCUUGCAGGGUACUCGAGUGGCGAACGGGUGAGUAACACGUGGGUGAUCUGCCCUGCACUUCGGGAUAAGCCUGGGAAACUGGGUCUAUUACCGGAUAGUAGCCAUUUUCAGUGUGAUGGUUGGAAAGUCUUUUCGGUGUAGGAUGAGCUCGCGGCCUAUCAGCUUGUUGGUGGGGUAAUGGCCUACCAAGGCGGCGACGGGUAGCCGGCCUGAGAGGGUGGACGGCCACAUUGGGACUGAGAUACGGCCCAGACUCCGACGGGAGGAAGCAGGGGGGAAUAUUGCACAAGGGGCGCAAGCCUGAUGCAGAGACGCCGCGUGGGGGAUGACGGCCUUCGGGUUGUAAAAUCCUUUCGCUAGGGACGAAGCUUUUUGUGACGGUACCUAGAUAAGAAGCACCGGCUAACUACGUG